Molecule: long non-coding RNA, 253 nt
Organism: Conger conger (European conger)
Lineage: Eukaryota; Metazoa; Chordata; Actinopteri; Anguilliformes; Congridae
Exons: 3
Source: RefSeq, a predicted model, not a curated record
UCCACAGCAGUAGGGGCCUGGAUGUAAUAUUUACUACUAUUUGAAAAGGAAACAUUGAGCAGAGAAAAACGGACAUCGCCUUUAAUGCAGUAGUUCACAAAUGGAGGGUCAGAACCUAUCGGCGAGCUGGGAGAAACGGAGGAAUCCUGACUGUCGAUGGCCUUGCACUCUGCACUCACACAGCAACCGUUUCCACAAGUGAAGGGCGACCGUCUGUCUUUAUGCAAGCUUGAAGGAGCGCCACUCUCCCCCG